AUGUACUUAGCUAGCGCUACAAGACCAGAUAUCUCUUUUGCUGUGAGCAAACUGAGUAGGUUCAUGUCCAACCCGGGUGAUGAUCAUUGGCAUGCACUAGAAAGGGUCUUGCGCUAUCUGAGAGGUACUAUGAGUUACGGAAUUACUUAUUCAGGGCAUCCUGCUGUGCUAGAAGGAUAUAGUGAUUCAAAUUGGAUCUCCGAUGUUGAUGUACUUUACGCAACAAGUGGGUAUGUAUUUACUCAUGGUGGUGGCGCAGUGUCAUGGAGGUCUUGCAAGCAAACCAUAUUGACGAGGUCAACUAUGGAAGCAGAAUUAACUGCUUUGGACACAGCUACUGUUGAGGCAGAAUGGCUGCGUGAGCUCUUGAUGGACUUGCCGGUUGUUGAAAAACCUGUACCGGCUAUUCUUAUGAAUUGUGAUAACCAAACGGUUAAAGCUAAAGUGAACAAUUCUAAAGAUAAUGCAAAGUCAUCAAGACACGUGAAAAGACGUUUGAAGUCUGUCAGGAAGUUGAGAAACUCCGGAGUAAUAACUGUUACGUAUAUACAAACAGACAAAAACCUGGCAGAUCCCUUUACAAAGGGACUAUCACGAAAUGUGAUAGAUAUUGCAUCGAGGGAGAUGGGUAUGAGACCCAUAGCAGUCUUGAAAGAACACACCUAUAUGAGUUCUGACUGUAAACAUCGCAGUCUAUGA
This 699-nucleotide ribosomal RNA is filed under the name Triticum aestivum (bread wheat). Its description in RNAcentral is "partial small subunit ribosomal RNA". The record is from RNAcentral. Lineage: Eukaryota; Viridiplantae; Streptophyta; Magnoliopsida; Poales; Poaceae.